AGGGAAAUCUCAACUAAAUCUGGGCAAAAUUUUUCAGACUGAAUGUUAAUCUUCAUACAUCUUCAAGAGCCGAGAAUGUCAAUACCUUGCUUUCUAUCAUCCACCUGUAAAUAUUGUGUUUGAUCACCCCCACCCCAAACCCACAAAAGUUUAGCUUUUUUGUUUUUACAGUGCAUGAAGUCUUUAAAAAAAAUAAAAUAAAAUAAAAAAUUACUAUAAGGUUCUAGUCUUCCAAAAAUCAAAUGAAACCUAAUUUUUUAGUCACAAUUAAAGCUACCAUUUUUUAUAGUAAAAAAUUACAACACUGCAUCAUCCUCCAGAAAAAUGAUCAAAAUUACACGGAAAAAAAUCCCAAAUUUUCUCAGCAAACAACACCAGUAAUCAAUCUUUUUCCCAAUCAACAAUCAUGAGAACAAGAACAACAUCAAUAACCAAAUACACGUCACAUUCAAAACAAAACACGAAAUCAAAAAGCCAAAAUCCUUUACACAACGCAUAAGUACAGCAAAAGGGAUCCUGCAGUUGGAAAUAUAAAUAAUUCCAUUAAACAGAGAAAAAAUUUUACCAGC
This 569-nucleotide long non-coding RNA is filed under the name Olea europaea subsp. europaea. The record is from RNAcentral. Lineage: Eukaryota; Viridiplantae; Streptophyta; Magnoliopsida; Lamiales; Oleaceae.